GGCUCAGGAUGAACGCUAGCGGCAGGCUUAACACAUGCAAGUCGAGGGGCAGCGUGGAGCAGCAAUGCUCUGACGGCGACCGGCGGAAGGGUGCGUAACACGUGAGCGACUUGCCCGUCACAGGGGGGAUAACCGGCGGAAACGGCGACUAAUACCCCAUACGAUGCGAUGCUGCAUGGCAUUGCAUUGAAAGAUUCAUCGGUGGCGGAUAGGCUCGCGGGACAUUAGGCAGUUGGCGGGGUAACGGCCCACCAAACCUACGAUGGAUAGGGGUUCUGAGAGGAAGGUCCCCCACAUUGGAACUGAGACACGGUCCAAACUCCUACGGGAGGCAGCAGUGAGGAAUAUUGGUCAAUGGACGAGAGCCUGAACCAGCCAAGUAGCGUGAAGGAUGACUGCCCUAUGGGUUGUAAACUUCUUUUAUAAAGGAAUAAAGUCGGGUAUGCAUACCCGUUUGCAUGUACUUUAUGAAUAAGGAUCGGCUAACUCCGUG
RNAcentral lists this ribosomal RNA (493 nucleotides) under uncultured bacterium. Its description in RNAcentral is "bacterial SSU rRNA". It matches the Rfam family "Bacterial small subunit ribosomal RNA", at positions 21 to 507 of the family's 1533-position model. The record is from RNAcentral.